Molecule: ribosomal RNA, 429 nt
Filed under: Bacteroidota bacterium
Lineage: Bacteria; Pseudomonadati; Bacteroidota
Description: Bacteroidetes bacterium partial 16S ribosomal RNA
Rfam family: Bacterial small subunit ribosomal RNA
Source: RNAcentral
UAGGGAAUCUUCCGCAAUGGACGCAAGUCUGACGGAGCAACGCCGCGUGAGUGAAGAAGGAUUUCGGUUCGUAAAACUCUGUUGUUAGAGAAGAACAGCGCAUAGAGUAACUGUUAUGCGUGUGACGGUAUCUAACCAGAAAGCCACGGCUAACUACGUGCCAGCAGCCGCGGUAAUACGUAGGUGGCAAGCGUUGUCCGGAUUUAUUGGGCGUAAAGCGAGCGCAGGCGGUCAAUUAAGUCUGAUGUGAAAGCCCCCGGCUCAACCGGGGAGGGGCAUUGGAAAGUGGUUGACUUGAGUGCAGAAGAGGAGAGUGGAAUUCCAUGUGUAGCGGUGAAAUGCGUAGAUAUAUGGAGGAACACCAGUGGCGAAGGCGACUCUCUGGUCUGUAACUGACGCUGAGGCUAGAAAGCGUGGGUAGCAAACAGG